CCACUUGCGUUUUUGUUAUGCGCAUAGAACUUCUCAUUAAGCAAGGACACCGCGCUCAUCGUGAACUUCUCACUGAAGCUUCUCCUUUCUUAAGAAGAACAGGUGAGAGUGCUGCCUGUUCAUUAAGCAAGAAGAAGAUUGUGUUAGUUACAGAUUAUAGUUGAAAAACAAAAAAAGAAAAAGAAACACCAGGACCAAGAUUCCUAGCAUACCGAAGCAUUCCAGGGGACAUAUAUCGAAGCAUUUUAUUUCAGGAUCGCAUUUUCAAGAUCCCUAGCUAGCAUACCAGGAUAGCGAAACAGAUC
RNAcentral lists this long non-coding RNA (305 nucleotides) under Brachypodium distachyon (stiff brome). RNAcentral's name for it is "long non-coding RNA (BDIS_LNC005166)". The record is from RNAcentral. Lineage: Eukaryota; Viridiplantae; Streptophyta; Magnoliopsida; Poales; Poaceae.